Molecule: unclassified non-coding RNA, 1923 nt
Filed under: Polistes fuscatus (common paper wasp)
Lineage: Eukaryota; Metazoa; Arthropoda; Insecta; Hymenoptera; Vespidae
Description: zwei Ig domain protein zig-8-like, transcript variant X1
Source: RNAcentral
UAUAUUUUGAAUUUCCGAUAUUAUGUUGUCGUUGAAAACAUAUCGGUAUAUGUGCGAUAAAAAGAAAUAAUAAUAAAAAAAUACAUUUAUGAUAAACAGUAUCAACAGUCGGAAAUGUACCGAAGGAGGAUGGUUUGGAGAAGAACUAUGAAGAUAAAUGCUCCUUUUGUAAAAAAAAAAGAUAAUAUCGCGUUAUAUAGGUGAUGGGGAUUCUCGAGCGCAAUCGCAGAUGAAGAAAAUACAGCGCGGGCGCGAUGCACCUUCAAUUCGAGCUUUUAGUCCGCCCCCAUGAGAACCUACUCUUUAGUACUUCGGGUGCUACCGGAGCGCAUUACCACGAAGAUCGUUCUUAAAUCGAUUUCUUUUUUUUUUUCUUUUGACGCGAGAGAACUAUAGAAUAUAAAUAAUUAUUUUCUCGAUUAGUAAUUAUCUCAAAUUGAUUUGACACGCGACACAUUUUAUUACAACUCGUGAUUUUUCCUUUUAUUAAUUAACACAUGCGAUCAUACGGUUCAUGAUUACGGACUUUAAACGAUCGAACGAUCAUUUCUCCUCGAUCGGUGAAAGUUCAAUCUCGUCGACCGCAUAUAUCGUUGCGGUGAAAUGUGCAAAAAAAAGAAAUAUCUCUCGAUGUCUGCCUUAAGUUCGAAGACGUAUCAUUUUGAGAAGAGAAACGUGAGAAGGCACGGAUCGUGAUUCGUUCAAAAAAUAAUUGUCAAUUUCGACGGGAGAUUAAUAUCUUCGUUGUAAGAUGCAAAGGAUUAUUUAAAAAUGCCUAGCAAUUCCGAAAAGCUCGAAAAUCCAUGAGCAAAGAUGAACGAUAGUCGAAUAUAAAAAAUGGCACCAUUCCACGGCAUGGUCCUACUGUUGCUAGGAAUCGGUUACCUGUUACACGCGGAACCAACUUUCAGUCAUCGCGAUAUAGGCAUAAUCGCGGACGAUGUUAGAUCGAGUCGCAGAGAAGAUCACGAAUACCCACCAAUUGUAGCACAUUUUUAUGACGAACAUCUCGACAAGGAGAUGCUCAAGACAUUUCGUACGAAAAGGCACACGUAUUUUUCCGAUGAUCUUGCUGAAAACGUGACGGUUGCCGUUGGCCAAUCCGCCGUUUUGUCGUGUCGAGUAGAGAAUUUAGAAAACAGGACCGUAUCUUGGAUGAGAAAAAAAGACGUACGGAUCUUAACGUCUAUGAAGACGACUUAUACCGCCGACAAGAGAUUCGUGAUAAUCGGUAAAUCGCCAAACUGGGACCUUCAAAUAGAUUCCGUACAACCGGAGGAUGCUGGUAUUUACGAGUGUCAAGUUAAUACCGAGCCAAAGAUGGACAGAGCGGUCAAUUUGAAGGUUUUGGACGUACAAGCCAAAAUCCUUGGUUCCGAAGAGGUAUACGUGAAGAAAGGAAGUAAAAUAAGUUUGACGUGUACCGUCGACAUGCAGGACGUCCCACCGAGCAACGUGACUUGGUAUCACGCUGGUUCGAUCAUCGACUUUGAUAGUCCAAGGGGUGGCGUUUCUCUGGAAACUGAAAAGGGCAAGAGCUUUACCAAGAGCAUGCUGGUAAUAACGCGCGCGUUACUCAACGACAGCGGCAAUUACACGUGCUUCUCGAACAAGGCUGCACCAGCUAGCGUAGUGGUUCAUGUGUUGAACGGGGAACAUCCUGCGGCGAUGCAACACGGAGGCAGCGACAGUGUCAACAGAAGGAUAAUCUUGUUCCUUGCGAUCGUUAUUCCGAUCGUGAUAUUUCGGGCAAAAGAAAAACUCUGACGAAAUUGUCGAUCACCAAUGGGAUCCCCCAUCGUUUUCAAUUUCAUUAUCGAGGUGAUCGAUUAAAGAUACCAAAGUAUCAAAACACGUAUCGCCUGGAACCCUUCAAAUUUUUUCACAUCGAGACGGUCGACGUUAUCGUUCGUAACGCCCUAG